RNAcentral lists this transfer RNA (68 nucleotides) under Marmota monax (woodchuck). RNAcentral's name for it is "tRNA.Ala". Lineage: Eukaryota; Metazoa; Chordata; Mammalia; Rodentia; Sciuridae. The record is from RNAcentral.
GGACUGUGGCUCCGUGGUAGAGUGCUCGCCUAGCACGUGCCAGGCCCUGGGUUUGAUCCUCAGCACCA